This 235-nucleotide ribosomal RNA is filed under the name uncultured bacterium. Its description in RNAcentral is "partial 16S ribosomal RNA". It matches the Rfam family "Bacterial small subunit ribosomal RNA", at positions 103 to 334 of the family's 1533-position model. The record is from RNAcentral.
CGGGUAGGAGUAACGCGUGAGGAACCUGCCUCAAAGAGGGGGACAACAGUUGGAAACGACUGCUAAUACCGCAUAAGCCCACAGCUCGGCAUCGAGCAGAGGGAAAAGGAGCAAUCCGCUUUGAGAUGGCCUCGCGUCCGAUUAGCUAGUUGGUGAGGUAACGGCCCACCAAGGCGACGAUCGGUAGCCGGACUGAGAGGUUGAACGGCCACAUUGGGACUGAGACACGGCCCAG